Molecule: ribosomal RNA, 1374 nt
Filed under: Salmonella enterica subsp. enterica serovar Oranienburg
Lineage: Bacteria; Pseudomonadati; Pseudomonadota; Gammaproteobacteria; Enterobacterales; Enterobacteriaceae
Description: partial 23S ribosomal RNA
Rfam family: Bacterial large subunit ribosomal RNA
Source: RNAcentral
AAUCCAUAGGUUAAUGAGGCGAACCGGGGGAACUGAAACAUCUAAGUACCCCGAGGAAAAGAAAUCAACCGAGAUUCCCCCAGUAGCGGCGAGCGAACGGGGAGGAGCCCAGAGCCUGAAUCAGCAUGUGUGUUAGUGGAAGCGUCUGGAAAGGCGCGCGAUACAGGGUGACAGCCCCGUACACAAAAGCGCAUGUGCUGUGAGCUCGAUGAGUAGGGCGGGACACGUGGUAUCCUGUCUGAAUAUGGGGGGACCAUCCUCCAAGGCUAAAUACUCCUGACUGACCGAUAGUGAACCAGUACCGUGAGGGAAAGGCGAAAAGAACCCCGGCGAGGGGAGUGAAAAAGAACCUGAAACCGUGUACGUACAAGCAGUGGGAGCACCCUUUGGGGUGUGACUGCGUACCUUUUGUAUAAUGGGUCAGCGACUUAUAUUCUGUAGCAAGGUUAACCGUAUAGGGGAGCCGGAGGGAAACCGAGUCUUAAUUGGGCGUUAAGUUGCAGGGUAUAGACCCGAAACCCGGUGAUCUAGCCAUGGGCAGGUUGAAGGUUGGGUAACACUAACUGGAGGACCGAACCGACUAAUGUUGAAAAAUUAGCGGAUGACCUGUGGCUGGGGGUGAAAGGCCAAUCAAACCGGGAGAUAGCUGGUUCUCCCCGAAAGCUAUUUAGGUAGCGCCUCGUGAAUUCAUCUCCGGGGGUAGAGCACUGUUUCGGCUAGGGGGCCAUCCCGGCUUACCAACCCGAUGCAAACUGCGAAUACCGGAGAAUGUUAUCACGGGAGACACACGGCGGGUGCUAACGUCCGUCGUGAAGAGGGAAACAACCCAGACCGCCAGCUAAGGUCCCAAAGUCAUGGUUAAGUGGGAAACGAUGUGGGAAGGCCCAGACAGCCAGGAUGUUGGCUUAGAAGCAGCCAUCAUUUAAAGAAAGCGUAAUAGCUCACUGGUCGAGUCGGCCUGCGCGGAAGAUGUAACGGGGCUAAACCAUGCACCGAAGCUGCGGCAGCGACACUCAGGUGUUGUUGGGUAGGGGAGCGUUCUGUAAGCCUGUGAAGGUGGCCUGUGAGGGUUGCUGGAGGUAUCAGAAGUGCGAAUGCUGACAUAAGUAACGAUAAAGCGGGUGAAAAGCCCGCUCGCCGGAAGACCAAGGGUUCCUGUCCAACGUUAAUCGGGGCAGGGUGAGUCGACCCCUAAGGCGAGGCCGAAAGGCGUAGUCGAUGGGAAACGGGUUAAUAUUCCCGUACUUGGUGUUACUGCGAAGGGGGGACGGAGAAGGCUAUGUUGGCCGGGCGACGGUUGUCCCGGUUUAAGCGUAUAGGUGUGUGUUCCAGGUAAAUCCGGUUCACUUUAACACUGAGGCGUGAUGACGAGGC